Long non-coding RNA from Oxyura jamaicensis (ruddy duck), 266 nucleotides. RefSeq lists it as uncharacterized. The transcript is spliced from 3 exons. NCBI's taxonomy places the organism in Eukaryota, Metazoa, Chordata, Aves, Anseriformes, Anatidae. The record is from RefSeq and is a predicted model, not a curated record.
GUCUGUAAGAAUUUUAUGAUUGAUCUUCUCCAAGCCUCCAGAAGCAGAUGGCAGCACUAAGGAACUGAGGAACAGAGAGCCACUCCUGCACUACGAGACAGCAAUUCUCUAUUUCCAUGGCCAUCCCACUAGGUCGUCAUCCUCUGUGAGUGAAGAUAAAAUGUCUGCAGAUCCCUGGAGAGACCCAUAUACAUAGGUCAGGGAAAGACCUAUAAAUCCAGAUGUUUAUUUCGGAUCUUGGAUCUAGCUAUCUGGGAGCUACUCUA